RNAcentral lists this ribosomal RNA (222 nucleotides) under uncultured bacterium. RNAcentral describes it as "partial 16S ribosomal RNA". The record is from RNAcentral.
UUUUUUAGAAAUAGCCCCCCUUUCCCCGUUUCCCCCCCCUUUCACCGCCCAUUUGAAACAUGUGUAAACCCCGGGACAAAAGGCCCAAGAAAAUUAAAUCAUCCCCCACCUUCCCCCCCUUUUUACCCGGGGGUUCUCUUAAAAUGCCCAACUAAAACGUGGGAAAAAAAAAAAAAGGGGGUCCCCCUUUUGGGAUUUAACCCAAAAAUCUCCAAAACAAAU